UGGGGAAUAUUGGACAAUGGGGGGAACCCUGAUCCAGCCAUGCCGCGUGUGUGAAGAAGGCCUUUUGGUUGUAAAGCACUUUAAGCGAGGAGGAGGCUACUCUAGUUAAUACCUAGGGAUAGUGGACGUUACUCGCAGAAUAAGCACCGGCUAACUCUGUGCCAGCAGCCGCGGUAAUACAGAGGGUGCGAGCGUUAAUCGGAUUUACUGGGCGUAAAGCGUGCGUAGGCGGCUUUUUAAGUCGGAUGU
RNAcentral lists this ribosomal RNA (249 nucleotides) under uncultured Acinetobacter sp. RNAcentral's name for it is "partial 16S ribosomal RNA". It matches the Rfam family "Bacterial small subunit ribosomal RNA", at positions 355 to 595 of the family's 1533-position model. Lineage: Bacteria; Pseudomonadati; Pseudomonadota; Gammaproteobacteria; Moraxellales; Moraxellaceae. The record is from RNAcentral.